AUGAAGGACCACAACUAUGUAAAACUGAAGAGCAUGGAAGAUUCUAACAAAAAGCUCAUCAAACGGUUAGCUACAAAAAAUGGUAUACUAUGCGCGAAGAACAGAAGAAUUGGGCAGCUCACAACAGCCUUUCGCAUCUUCAUAGCCACGUCAACACUGCAUUGCCAAGAAAUUCACACACUUGUAGCAGACAACCAAUCGAAUAGAGAAGCAGAGGUUGCCACACCUUCCGGCUCGUGUUUCAUGGAACUGGAGAAGCUCACAUCAGAUCUUCAGUGUCUGAUCAUUAAAGCAACUGAGAAAGUGCAGUCCGUUGGUGGUUACGAGGAUCAAUCACAGUCUGACGAUAGCGAGGCCGAUCAGUUUCCACCAUACUUUGGACCAGAAGAUGAAUACACUGGACCAAGCUGCCUUGCCGAUGAACCUUACUACGAUACAGACGAGUAG
RNAcentral lists this ribosomal RNA (447 nucleotides) under Triticum aestivum (bread wheat). RNAcentral's name for it is "partial small subunit ribosomal RNA". The record is from RNAcentral. Lineage: Eukaryota; Viridiplantae; Streptophyta; Magnoliopsida; Poales; Poaceae.